Molecule: long non-coding RNA, 858 nt
Organism: Drosophila miranda
Lineage: Eukaryota; Metazoa; Arthropoda; Insecta; Diptera; Drosophilidae
Exons: 2
Source: RefSeq, a predicted model, not a curated record
CCAGGGAGGCUUGGACGAUAUAGUGGAUGGGAGCGUGUCCAUCUUCCUUUUGGAAUUUGGAUGUCGAGCGACCAACAUCGCCCCGAACAGGCUCAGCAAAAAUCAUUAAUGAAAAAGUUCCAAAGUCAAGAAAAGAAUAUUGUCAAAGCGCGAGUGGUAUCCAGCAGCAGCAAAGCAAAAGUCGCGGGACUACGAUAACUGAAGCUAGGUCGGCCACUGGGGCCAAGAUUGACGGAUUUGGCGCCUAGCAAUUUGGGCUGGCGAAGCAGCGGCGCUCCAAGCAGCUGAUCCGUCGCAGCACAGAGCGAGGGAGCAGAGACGCAGAAAAAAUUCAGAGAGGCUCGACCUUCGCGGGCAGCCGGAUCGACGUCGGUGAGGCGGCGGCCACAAAGCGGGACGGUCGAUAAUCCGCGAUAGCGGAAAGUUCAGCACCGGCGAAAUACGAACGGAGAAAAAGGAGGAAAAUAGCGCAAAUCCUACCCAAACGUGCCGUAUGGCAAAUACAGUUAACAAGGCCCAAUUAAGAUCCGCAGCACAUAGGGAAGGAAAGAGUUAGUGUGUUGUUGGAGUUCAAUACUCAGAGCUGCAAGGGUAAUGCCCCAAAAAAAUAAAGAGGGCGAGCGGAGCCAAAGGUGAUGCGCGCAUAGGCAGAGAGUGAAAGCGGGGGAGAGAGAGAACACGCAAGCAGCAAAGGCAGAGCCCAAUAGGAGAGCGAGCGAGCUAUAAAAACGCUCGCCAGCAACGGAGCCGAAGGGGGCUGGCGAUAAGCCGAGAGAAGUAACAUAAGUUAACAUAAGAGUAAGCAGAAUAGUACCGAGCAGCAGAACAGCUAUUUAAGUUUACAUACAUAUACAUAAA